GUACCACCUUCUCAGCACUGCCGGACCUCCAGAUACUUUUCCUCUUCCUCUUUAGUGUUGAAUCUAUAUUUUUGAACCAUGUUUCAGAACAUUAGGCUUGGGUGUUAGUAGGGCCGGCUCAAGGGUAAAGCUGCUAAAGCCCUAGCUUUGGGCUUCCUUUCUUCCAUGCCUCCGUUUUACGAUUUACUUCAUGUAUACUAACUAAUCGUAUUGGGCUCUGUGGUUGAGACUUGGGAAAAAAGAUUAGUGAACAUGGGGGUGGGGGUGGAAAUAGAAUCGUCAGGAACAGUAAAGUGUAAAUCGGAAACGAAUUUCGAAGUUCCAACUACAACUUGUUCUGUGUUCUUUCUCAACUAAAUCGAAGUUGUUCUGUUGUGCUUUGGAAUCGGAAUUGUCAAAUAGAAGGUUUUAUGUUCUAAGGUCCCUGUUAUGCUUUUUCUUUAGUAAUUGAAGCCUAGUUAACAAUUUCUGGCCGGUGAUUUUGUAGAGAAGUGUUUCAAGACUUGUAGGUUCACUCAGAGUUGGAGCAUUAUGUGACCAGUUGCUACUACAAACUUUGCCAUAUUUACAUUAAAAACACAUUUAGACACUCCUCUAUAUAAAAUACAGACAUGGAAUUGAACCGUCAAGCUGCCACGAUUGAACCCCGUCAAGCGCACCACAGUCGAACCCCGGAUGGUGUUAAUUAG
This 689-nucleotide long non-coding RNA is filed under the name Helianthus annuus (common sunflower). RNAcentral's name for it is "sRNA HanXRQr2_Chr04g0147161". Lineage: Eukaryota; Viridiplantae; Streptophyta; Magnoliopsida; Asterales; Asteraceae. The record is from RNAcentral.